GAGAUUAAGCAGAAGCGCCCGCUUCUCACCUAAGCUAUAUGCCUCUAGGUUAAUACGAUUAUGUAGAUAAUAGUGGGCGUGCGUAUGCGCCCACUUUUUUAGUGGGAU
This is a regulatory RNA element of Lactobacillus sp., 108 nucleotides long. It matches the Rfam family "Ribosomal protein L20 leader". Rfam says of the family: This family is a putative r-protein leader autoregulatory structure found in B. subtilis and other low-GC Gram-positive bacteria. It is located in the 5' untranslated regions of mRNAs encoding initiation factor 3 followed by ribosomal proteins L35 and L20 (infC-rpmI-rplT). A Rho-independent transcription terminator structure that is probably involved in regulation is included at the 3' end. NCBI's taxonomy places the organism in Bacteria, Bacillati, Bacillota, Bacilli, Lactobacillales, Lactobacillaceae. The record is from Rfam.